AUUCUAGAGAUAGAAAGUAACUUCGGUACAUCGGUGGACAGGUGGUGCAUGGUUGUCGUCAGCUCGUGUCGUGAGAUGUUGGGUUAAGUCCCGCAACGAGCGCAACCCCUAUUGUUAGUUGCCAUCAUUCAGUUGGGCACUCUAGCGAGACUGCCGGUAAGUAAACCGGAGGAAGGUGGGGAUGACGUCAAAUCAUCAUGCCCCUUAUGACCUGGGCUACACACGUGCUACAAUGGUUGGUACAACGAGUUGCGAGUCGGUGACGGCGAGCUAAUCUACUUAAAGCCAAUCUCAGUUCGGAUUGUAGGCUGCAACUCGCCUACAUGAAGUCGGAAUCGCUAGUAAUCGCGGAUCAGCACGCCCGCGGUCGAAUACGUUCCCGGGCCUU
Molecule: ribosomal RNA, 388 nt
Filed under: uncultured Streptococcus sp.
Lineage: Bacteria; Bacillati; Bacillota; Bacilli; Lactobacillales; Streptococcaceae
Description: bacterial SSU rRNA
Rfam family: Bacterial small subunit ribosomal RNA
Source: RNAcentral